This 405-nucleotide ribosomal RNA is filed under the name uncultured bacterium. Its description in RNAcentral is "partial 16S ribosomal RNA". It matches the Rfam family "Bacterial small subunit ribosomal RNA", at positions 28 to 526 of the family's 1533-position model. The record is from RNAcentral.
GAUGAACGCUGGCGGCGUGCCUAAUACAUGCAAGUCGAGCGAAGCGGGGACGGGUGAGUAACACGUGGAUAACCUCCUAUAAGACUGGGAUAACUUCGGGAAACCGGAGCUUAACCCGCUACUUAUACAUGGCUCCGGAGUGUAUUAGCUAGUUGGUAAGGUAACGGCUUACCAAGGCACCGAUGCAUAGCCGACCUGAGAGGGUGAUCGGCCACACUGGAACUGAGACACGGGCCAGACGCCUACGGGAGGCAGCAGUAGGGAAUCUUCCGCAAUGGGCGAAAGCCUGACGGAGCAACGCCGCGUGAGUGAUGAAGGUCUUCGGAUCGUAAAACUCUGUUAUUAGGGAAGCGGUACCUAAACAGAAAGCCACGGCUAACUACGUGCCAGCAGCCGCGGUAAUAC